AAAGCAUAUAAGUAAGCGGAGGACAAGAAACUAAAUAGGAUUCCCCCAGUAAUGGCGAAUGAACAGGGAAUAGCUCAGCAUGGAAAUUGGGGUCUCCCGACCUUGAAUUGUAGUCUUGAGAGGUACUGCCAACGGAGGCGCAGAUGUAAGCCUCUUGGAAAAGAGCAUCAACGAGGGUGAGAGUCCCGUUUGUCAUCUGCAGUCCCCCGUGCACGGUGUAUCUUCUAAGAGUCACGUUCCUCGGGAUUGGAGCGCAAAGUGGGUGGUAAAUUUCAUCUAAAGCUAAAUAUUGGUUCGAGACCGAUAGCAAACAAGUACCAUGAGGGAAAGGUGAAAAGGACUUUGAAAAGAGAGUUAAAAGUGCCUGAAAUUGCUGAAAGGGAAGCGAAUGGAACCAGCGUUCUUGAUGAGAUUGCUGCGUACUCUGGUGAUUGCUGGGUGUUCCACCGCAAGGGGGGCAUCUGGUUUUGAGCUAGAUGUGCGUGGUGUUUCUUGUCUUGUGUGUCACCGUCGGUGCUCAAGCGAGUAAAACUCUAGGGAACUGGUAGCCUGCCUCCGGGUGUGUGAAUGUCCUUGGUAGUACUCAUUUGCGUAUCGAUCCCUGCGUGUCUGGUUGCAGUGUUUGAGUCGCUUUGAAGUUUUUCUGAAGGGACUUGUCCUUGAUGAAAUCCAUCUUAGCGCCUUGAGCAUCUCCCUGACACAAAGACGAUGACUAAAUGGUUCUAUUCGACCCGUCUUGAAAGGGG
RNAcentral lists this ribosomal RNA (746 nucleotides) under Azadinium dalianense. RNAcentral describes it as "LSU rRNA". It matches the Rfam family "Eukaryotic large subunit ribosomal RNA", at positions 35 to 664 of the family's 3401-position model. Lineage: Eukaryota; Dinophyceae; Gonyaulacales; Amphidomataceae. The record is from RNAcentral.